CCCUUUCUAUGUACUGAGCCUUUACGUGGCGAGAGGGACCAACAGACUACAUUUGUCUGGCUAAUCCAGUA
This 71-nucleotide non-coding RNA is filed under the name Caenorhabditis briggsae. The record is from RNAcentral. Lineage: Eukaryota; Metazoa; Nematoda; Chromadorea; Rhabditida; Rhabditidae.